UACAGAGGGUGCGAGCGUUAAUCGGAAUUACUGGGCGUAAAGCGCACGCAGGUGGAUAUUUAAGUCGGAUGUGAAAUCCCUGGGCUUAACCUAGGAAUUGCCUCCGAUACUGGAUAUCUAGAGUAUGGUAGAGGGAAGUGGAAUUUCCGGUGUAGCGGUGAAAUGCGUAGAUAUCGGAAGGAACACCAGUGGCGAAAGCGACUUCCUGGACCAAUACUGACACUCAGGUGCGAAAGCGUGGGGAGCAAACAGG
This 253-nucleotide unclassified non-coding RNA is filed under the name uncultured Gammaproteobacteria bacterium. Its description in RNAcentral is "contains 16S-23S intergenic spacer region". It matches the Rfam family "Bacterial small subunit ribosomal RNA", at positions 524 to 776 of the family's 1533-position model. Lineage: Bacteria; Pseudomonadati; Pseudomonadota; Gammaproteobacteria. The record is from RNAcentral.